This 74-nucleotide transfer RNA is filed under the name Alligator mississippiensis (American alligator). It matches the Rfam family "tRNA". From Rfam's summary of the family: Transfer RNA (tRNA) molecules are approximately 80 nucleotides in length. Their secondary structure includes four short double-helical elements and three loops (D, anti-codon, and T loops). The record is from Rfam by way of RNAcentral. Lineage: Eukaryota; Metazoa; Chordata; Crocodylia; Alligatoridae.
GGUGCCAUGGCUUAGCUGGUUAAAGUGCCUACCUGAUAAGCAGAAGAUCUUGGGUUCAAGUCACAGUGGUACCU